Molecule: long non-coding RNA, 255 nt
Filed under: Cyanoderma ruficeps (rufous-capped babbler)
Lineage: Eukaryota; Metazoa; Chordata; Aves; Passeriformes; Timaliidae
Description: lncRNA (ENSCRFG00000013363.1)
Source: RNAcentral
CAGAAUCGGAAUCACCAGGCUCUGAGACAAAAGGAACCAGAGACUUUUAAAAGUUGGUUCUGGUGCCCGUGUCUCUUGCUCUGGAUUGUUGUAGAGGAAGAAGAUGAAGAAGAAGAAGAGUCACCACAGAAGCAGCUGGAUUUGCCAGUCUUGGAGCAUGAGCCCUUAUCAGGAAUGCUGGAAAAGCUCAGGUUUAAAUAAUUUGGAAUGCUCUGGAGAGAUCUUAUUUUGUUGGCUUUGUUUUCAGCUUCAAGU